UUUCUAUCUAGAGAGGUGGAGGGACAGGCCCUGUGAAAUCUCGGCAACAGCAUUUUGACUGUGCCAAUUCCUGCAAGUUUUACUUGGAAGAUAGGAG
RNAcentral lists this non-coding RNA (97 nucleotides) under Jeotgalibacillus soli. RNAcentral's name for it is "SAM-I sequence". It matches the Rfam family "SAM riboswitch aptamer (S box leader)". From Rfam's summary of the family: The SAM riboswitch is found upstream of a number of genes which code for proteins involved in methionine or cysteine biosynthesis in Gram-positive bacteria. The SAM riboswitch acts at the level of transcription termination control. Lineage: Bacteria; Bacillati; Bacillota; Bacilli; Caryophanales; Caryophanaceae. The record is from Rfam by way of RNAcentral.